Molecule: ribosomal RNA, 323 nt
Filed under: uncultured eukaryote
Lineage: Eukaryota
Description: partial 18S ribosomal RNA
Rfam family: Eukaryotic small subunit ribosomal RNA
Source: RNAcentral
CCCCUAGAUGUUCUGGGCCGCACGCGCGCUACACUGAACAGUUCAACAAGUCUUAACCUUGGCCGAUAGGUCUGGGUAAUCUUUGAACGCUGUUCGUGAUUGGGAUAGACCUUUGCAAUUAUGGGUCUUCAACGAGGAAUUCCUAGUAAACGCAAGUCAUCAGCUUGCAUUGAUUACGUCCCUGCCCUUUGUACACACCGCCCGUCGCUCCUACCGAUUGAGUGGUCCGGUGAAUUAUUCGGACUGCAACGCGUUCAGCUUCUGGAUGCAGUUGCGGAAAGUUUUGUAAACCUUAUCACUUAGAGGAAGGAGAAGUCGUAACA